This 497-nucleotide ribosomal RNA is filed under the name uncultured bacterium. Its description in RNAcentral is "partial 16S ribosomal RNA". It matches the Rfam family "Bacterial small subunit ribosomal RNA", at positions 28 to 507 of the family's 1533-position model. The record is from RNAcentral.
GAUGAACGCUGGCGGCGUGCCUAAUACAUGCAAGUAGAACGCUGAAGGAAGGAGCUUGCUCUUUCCGGAUGAGUUGCGAACGGGUGAGUAACGCGUAGGUAACCUGCCUGGUAGCGGGGGAUAACUAUUGGAAACGAUAGCUAAUACCGCAUAACAGUAGAUAUUGCAUGAUAUCUGCUUGAAAGGGGCAAUUGCUCCACUACCAGAUGGACCUGCGUUGUAUUAGCUAGUUGGUGAGGUAACGGCUCACCAAGGCGACGAUACAUAGCCGACCUGAGAGGGUGGUCGGCCACACUGGGACUGGGACACGGCCCAGACUCCUACGGGAGGCAGCAGUAGGGCAUCUUCGGCAAUGGGCGGAAGUCUGACCGAGCAACGCCGCGUGAGUGAAGAAGGUUUUCGGAUCGUAAAGCUCUGUUGUAAGAGAAGAACGAGUGUGAGAGUGGAAAGUUCACACUGUGACGGUAUCUUACCAGAAAGGGACGGCUAACUACGUG